RNAcentral lists this unclassified non-coding RNA (315 nucleotides) under plant metagenome. Its description in RNAcentral is "partial contains 5.8S ribosomal RNA, internal transcribed spacer 2, and large subunit ribosomal RNA". The stretch from base 1 to 105 matches the Rfam family "5.8S ribosomal RNA", at positions 50 to 154 of the family's 154-position model. The record is from RNAcentral.
GAAAUGCGAUAAGUAAUGUGAAUUGCAGAAUUCAGUGAAUCAUCGAGUCUUUGAACGCACAUUGCGCCCCCUGGCAUUCCGGGGGGCAUGUCUGUCCGAGCGUCAUUGCUGCCCUUCAAGCCCGGCUUGUGUGUUGGGUCGUCGUCCCCUCCGGGGGACGGGCCCGAAAGGCAGCGGCGGCACCGCGUCCGGUCCUCGAGCGUAUGGGGCUUUGUCACCCGCUCGAUAAGGACCGGCCGGGCGCCAGCCGGCGUCUCCAACCUUUUUUUCUCAGGUUGACCUCGGAUCAGGUAGGGAUACCCGCUGAACUUAAGC